UUAACUCUAAUUUGUAUGGAAUUGGAAAGUUUGCCUACGUUUGCCGCUAGGGGCGCUGUUCCAACUGCAUACAAAUUUGAGUUA
Bombyx mori (domestic silkworm) is the source of this 84-nucleotide non-coding RNA. NCBI's taxonomy places the organism in Eukaryota, Metazoa, Arthropoda, Insecta, Lepidoptera, Bombycidae. The record is from Rfam.